GAUGAACGCUGGCGGCGUGCCUAAUACAUGCAAGUCGAGCGAACGGACGAGAAGCUUGCUUCUCUGAUGUUAGCGGCGGACGGGUGAGUAACACGUGGAUAACCUACCUAUAAGACUGGGAUAACUUCGGGAAACCGGAGCUAAUACCGGAUGAUAUUUUGAACCGCAUGGUUCAAAAGUGAAAGACGGUCUUGCUGUCACUUAUAGAUGGAUCCGCGCUGCAUUAGCUAGUUGGUAAGGUAACGGCUUACCAAGGCAACGAUGCAUAGCCGACCUGAGAGGGUGAUUCGCCCACACUGAACUGGGAAACGGUCCAGAACCCUAAGGGAAGCAGGCGGAGGGAAACUUUCGCCAUGGGCCAAAGGCUGACGGAGGAACGGCGGGGGAGGGAUGAAGGUCUUCGGAUCGUAAAACCCUGGUAUUAGGGAAGAACAUAUGUGUAAGUAACUGUGCACAUCUUGACGGUACCUAAUCAGAAAGCCACGGCUAACUACGUG
This 497-nucleotide ribosomal RNA is filed under the name uncultured bacterium. RNAcentral's name for it is "partial 16S ribosomal RNA". It matches the Rfam family "Bacterial small subunit ribosomal RNA", at positions 28 to 507 of the family's 1533-position model. The record is from RNAcentral.